AGCGAACGCUGGCGGCAGGCUUAACACAUGCAAGUCGAGCGGGCACUUUCGGGUGUCAGCGGCGGACGGGUGCGUAACGCGUGGGAACGUGCCCUCUGGUUCGGAAUAACUCAGGGAAACUUGAGCUAAUACCGGAUACGCCCUUUUGGGGAAAGGCUUGCUGCCGGAGGAUCGGCCCGCGUCUGAUUAGCUAGUUGGUGAGGUAACGGCUCACCAAGGCGACGAUCAGUAGCUGGUCUGAGAGGAUGAUCAGCCACACUGGGACUGAGGCACGGCCCAGACUCCUACGGGAGGCAGCAGUGGGGAAUAUUGGACAAUGGGCGCAAGCCUGAUCCAGCCAUGCCGCGUGAGUGAUGAAGGCCUUAGGGUUGUAAAGCUCUUUUAUCCGGGACGAUAAUGACGGUACCGGAGGAAUAAGCCCCGGCUAACUUCGUG
This 435-nucleotide ribosomal RNA is filed under the name uncultured bacterium. Its description in RNAcentral is "partial 16S ribosomal RNA". It matches the Rfam family "Bacterial small subunit ribosomal RNA", at positions 29 to 507 of the family's 1533-position model. The record is from RNAcentral.